GAUGAACGCUAGCGGCAGGCUUAACACAUGCAAGUCAGGGGUAACAUGAAAAGCUUGCUUUUCUGAUGACGACCGGCGCACGGGUGCGUAACGCGUAUACAACCUACCUUUUAGCGGGGAAUAGCCCACGGGAAACUUGGAUUAAUGCCCCAUAGUAUAUAGACUUCUCCUGAAGUUUAUAUUAAACAUUUAUGGCUAUUAGAUGGGUAUGCGUCCUAUUAGUUAGUUGGUAAGGUAACGGCUUACCAAGGCAGCGAUAGGUAGGGGUCCUGAGAGGGAGAUCCCCACACUGGUACUGAGACACGGACCAGACUCCUACGGGAGGCAGCAGUGAGGAAUAUUGGACAAUGGGCGAGAGCCUGAUCCAGCCAUGCCGCGUGCAGGAAGACUGCCCUAUGGGUUGUAAACUGUCUUUUACAGAGGAAGAACCACCCCACGUGUGGGGGUUUGACGGUACUCUGCGAAUAAGGAUCGGCUAACUCCGUG
This 486-nucleotide ribosomal RNA is filed under the name uncultured bacterium. RNAcentral describes it as "bacterial SSU rRNA". It matches the Rfam family "Bacterial small subunit ribosomal RNA", at positions 28 to 507 of the family's 1533-position model. The record is from RNAcentral.